RNAcentral lists this transfer RNA (74 nucleotides) under Acidobacteriota bacterium. RNAcentral's name for it is "tRNA-Gln". It matches the Rfam family "tRNA". Rfam says of the family: Transfer RNA (tRNA) molecules are approximately 80 nucleotides in length. Their secondary structure includes four short double-helical elements and three loops (D, anti-codon, and T loops). Further hydrogen bonds mediate the characteristic L-shaped molecular structure. tRNAs have two regions of fundamental functional importance: the anti-codon, which is responsible for specific mRNA codon recognition, and the 3' end, to which the tRNAs corresponding amino acid is attached (by aminoacyl-tRNA synthetases). tRNAs cope with the degeneracy of the genetic code in two manners: having more than one tRNA (with a specific anti-codon) for a particular amino acid; and 'wobble' base-pairing, i.e. permitting non-standard base-pairing at the 3rd anti-codon position. Lineage: Bacteria; Pseudomonadati; Acidobacteriota. The record is from RNAcentral.
UGGGAGGUCGUCUAAUGGUAAGACUCCAGACUCUGGAUCUGGCUAUUGGGGUUCGAGUCCCUGCCUCCCAGCCA